RNAcentral lists this ribosomal RNA (276 nucleotides) under uncultured bacterium. Its description in RNAcentral is "partial 16S ribosomal RNA". It matches the Rfam family "Bacterial small subunit ribosomal RNA", at positions 355 to 648 of the family's 1533-position model. The record is from RNAcentral.
UCGGGAAUUUUGGGCAAUGGGCGCAAGCCUGACCCAGCAACGCCGCGUGAAGGAUGAAGUUCUUCGGAAUGUAAACUUCGUAAGAAUGGGAAGAAUAAAUGACGGUACCAUUUGUAAGGUCCGGCUAACUACGUGCCAGCAGCCGCGGUAAUACGUAGGGACCAAGCGUUGUUCGGAUUUACUGGGCGUAAAGGGCGCGUAGGCGGCAAUUCAAGUCAGCUGUGAAAUCUCCGGGCUUAACUCGGAACGGUCAGCUGAUACUGCUUUGCUAGAGUA